This 221-nucleotide unclassified non-coding RNA is filed under the name Hevea brasiliensis (rubber tree). Lineage: Eukaryota; Viridiplantae; Streptophyta; Magnoliopsida; Malpighiales; Euphorbiaceae. The record is from RNAcentral.
AUGCCUGCAAAAUAGUAUUCGCUAAAAGAAGAGCAUAAACAUCAAGACCUACAAAAAUUACACUUAGCAAGAACUAAAUGCAAUACCAUCCCUCAAGCAGUAACUUCCAACAUAUUUGGAUAAACCACAACAUUCUCCAAACGAAAACAAAUUUGACAAAAAUCCCACAAGAAACAACAAACCAAACUGGAAAUUAACUAUCCUAAAGAACUGGAUAAUCG